UAGGGAAUCUUCGGCAAUGGACGAAAGUCUGACCGAGCAACGCCGCGUGAGUGAAGAAGGUUUUCGGAUCGUAAAACUCUGUUGUUAGAGAAGAACAAGGACGUUAGUAACUGAACGUCCCCUGACGGUAUCUAACCAGAAAGCCACGGCUAACUACGUGCCAGCAGCCGCGGUAAUACGUAGGUGGCAAGCGUUGUCCGGAUUUAUUGGGCGUAAAGCGAGCGCAGGCGGUUUCUUAAGUCUGAUGUGAAAGCCCCCGGCUCAACCGGGGAGGGGCAAUUGAAACUGGGGGACUUGAGUGCAGAAGAGGAGAGUGGAAUUCCAUGUGUAGCGGUGAAAUGCGUAGAUAUAUGGGGGAACACCAGUGGCGAAGGCGGCUCUCUGGUCUGUAACUGACGCUGAGGCUCGAAAGCGUGGGGAGCAAACAGG
Molecule: ribosomal RNA, 429 nt
Filed under: Gemmatimonadota bacterium
Lineage: Bacteria; Pseudomonadati; Gemmatimonadota
Description: Gemmatimonadetes bacterium partial 16S ribosomal RNA
Rfam family: Bacterial small subunit ribosomal RNA
Source: RNAcentral